AGCAGCCGCGGUAAUUCCAGCUCCAAUAGCGUAUAUUAAAGUUGUUGUAGUUAAAAAGCUCGUAGUUGAAUUUCGGGGUCAGUAGGUUGGUCGUGCCACUGGUAUGUACUGGUCUCACUGAUUCCUCCUUCCUGAUGAGCCGUAAUGCCAUUAAUUUGGUGUUGCGGGGAAUCUGGACUGUUACUUUGAAAAAAUUAGAGUGUUUAAAGCAGGCUAACGCUUGAAUACAUUAGCAUGGAAUAAUGGAAUAGGACGUUCGAUCCUAUUUUGUUGGUUUCUAGGUUUGACGUAAUGAUUAAUAGGGAUAGUUGGGGGCAUUAGUAUUCAAUUGUCAGAGGUGAAAUUCUUGGAUUUAUUGAAGACUAACUACUGCGAAAGCAUUUGCCAAGGAUGUUUUCAUUAAUCAAGAACGAAAGUUAGGGGAUCGAAGACGAUCAGAUACCGUCGUAGUCUUAACCAUAAACUAUGCCGACUAGGGAUCGGAUGAUGUUAAUUUUUUAAUGACUCAUUCGGCGCCUUA
Molecule: ribosomal RNA, 520 nt
Filed under: uncultured Glomeromycotina
Lineage: Eukaryota; Fungi; Glomeromycota
Description: SSU rRNA
Rfam family: Eukaryotic small subunit ribosomal RNA
Source: RNAcentral